GUUCCCUUCAUAUGGGGACUGCUUUCCUCUCCCUGUGCUGUAUCACCACGGGACCAGCAAGUGCUAUGGUUUGUUGGUGAGAACAAAGUCGAGAUGUCUUCAACUGGAAGAUAUGUCCAUAACUGACGAUUAUAAAACAAGAUCCUUAACAAUCAAAGAUUGUACUGAAGUAGACAGAGCUAUUGUUACCUGUCAAGUGGGUGAUGUGGAAACCACAGCUAAACUCUGGGUUUGAUUGCCACCAGCUUUCUAUGCCACACCUCUACAAGAUAUAGUUUGCACAGAGUUUGACAACAUUAUUUUGGAAUGUGAAGUUUCUAGCCUAAUGUAGAGGUUGAAUGGCUCGUAAUGGUAAAUUGUUUGAAGAGACCGACAAGAUCAUCAUUGUUGCUGAUGGUGUUAUCGUCGUCUCUACUAAGAUGACGUUCAACCUGAUUCAAGCAACAAAUACACAAAUAA
Non-coding RNA from Styela clava, 459 nucleotides. The record is from RefSeq and is a predicted model, not a curated record. Lineage: Eukaryota; Metazoa; Chordata; Ascidiacea; Stolidobranchia; Styelidae.